Molecule: long non-coding RNA, 2962 nt
Filed under: Toxoplasma gondii VEG
Lineage: Eukaryota; Apicomplexa; Conoidasida; Eucoccidiorida; Sarcocystidae
Source: RNAcentral
GACUAUCGUUGUGACUGCGUUGAGAACAUCUUUCUGAUUUUUGCUGAACAAAUCAACCUACUUGCUGGGCAGGCGUGGUGCCAGAGCCUUUAUUGUGUCCAGCGUUGGCAAUUUUUCGUUGGGAUCGAGACGACCCACGCGUCUCUCCCCUGUCAUGGCAGCGAGCCCUGCUCGUGUUGAAAACCUCUGGAGGUCGGUUAAUUAUUAUAUUCCUUUGCUUAGGACAGUGUUGUUAAUACUAAGGCGGGAUAGGAACUCCAUACAACACGUGUCUGGCCGAACUCCGGGACUAGCGUCCCGUUGUCUCGUUCCCGGCAGUUAAGUCUUCUGCGCAUUCCAGGUCGAUAUGCUUUGCAGUUUGGGGCCGAGCCCAGGAAUGCUGCGUCUGCUAUGGCAUCAGUUUCCGAGAUACUUUUUUCAAAAACUUGGAAUCACUAUGUUGGAUACCUGUCUUUCAUUCUUUCCCGUAAUGUCUCAGCGGCAUCCUUUUUCUGAGAGGACGGUCCCCGAAAAGCUGUACGUCACCUGCACAGCGAACGACAGCCUCUUCGAUGGGCAACUUGCGCUUACACCUGGAAUGAAAUCUGGCAGGUGCUCGUUACGCCACCCGGUUCGCUCUAGUUCCUCUUGUUCUGUGGAAGCCUCAGCAUGGGGAAUGCACCUAACCGAGAUAGUCGAGCGACAGGUGUGAGAACUGAUACCUCAGGCAAUGGCCGAGGCCCUGAUGGUGCCGGCGUGAGACACGAUGGCCAUCCACCUGUCCAGCCUUCGAAUUCAAGCGGAGUACCAGCAUCGACCGUUUCAGCAUUUUGUCCGUCUGUUGUUAUCCAAUCAUGCGUAGCCAUGAAGGAGGCGGCGGAAUGUGGACAGUGCUUGGAUGGCACUGAAGAAAAGAUAGCGGCAGUGCCUCGGAGUAUCGUCCUACCAGAACAGUUCUUCCCUCUCACUAUAGACGCAGACCGGCCGAACAAGUUUCUCUUCAUAACAAACACGUACCAUGAUGAUCAAACACGCCAUCGUACGGCUCUGCAUGACUGCGCCAAUACGGUGGGAGCCCUGCAGAGAUUGUUGAUGCCUUCGUUGAGGGAGCAGAAGCAUGGUGAUUCGCCUAGAUGGAUCUCCAGUCCUCACUAUCAGCGAAAAGAAACGAUGCAGAGAAGUGUGACGCUCGAGAAUAGCAGCAUCACAUUCAUUGUCAAUCGACCCAAAGCACGAUUUCUGCAGGAAUUCGACGAAUUUUGUCACUGUAUUCAACCUGGUGACAGCGUCUGCGUAUACUACUCAGGGUUUGCGACUCAGGUAAGCGCACAGCCGUGUCUGGUUACACCGACGAGUCAUAGCGAGGCCCGCCAAUAUGCCAAACCUCAACACAACAUGAAACGCAACGCCGUCAACCUGGUCGACAUGGUGGACUCGGUAGCUGCUCGGUCCCCAAGGCUCGUGUGUUUUAUUUUGGAUUGCGCAGCAGAUUUCGAUGCCCGACACAGGCGUGCCCUACCGAUUUCUGUGGGCCUGCCGAUGAUCUACGAAUUUGUCGGAGACAAAGUAAUUAUCAUGCAGAGUCUCGCUCCCGGUGCCUCGUUAUCAUCUGAAUUGCUAUCUCAACGGACAACGACUGCGGAAGAUUAUGCCGCAUACACUGGUCUUCGAGAACCUCAGGAGGAGGAGAUGGAAAGGUACGAGAAAGGGCACGAAGCUCUUUCGCUAACCAGUACUCUCCACAGCCCGGUUCGGGGCAGAAAAGUGUCUCGAUGGGAUUCAGAAGGGAGAGGCCGACCGUACCAAGAUCCGUCAGAAGAGAACUCAAACGGCGAGACAAAUGUGAGACGUUACUCUUGCGAUUCGCAGGAAAUGCAAGAUCUCGACCACAUAGAGGUUCCGUGUGAUGUUAAGCUUCGAACGCCGUACGAAUCAUUCUUGGCACAUGCUAAACGCUCUUGCGGACCAGACGAACUGGCAUCCAUGCCGGGAACGUGGGAAAGUUGCAUUGAGCCGUGCAGUAACUUGUCGUUCUGCAUUAAUCAGGCGUCGCGUAGCCUUGCGAAAGGGACAGGUCUUGAUUUCGUGAGAAUGGCGCAGCUAAUUGCUUCACUGGUUUAUCGUGUCACGGGCAACACACAGGCUUUUUGCUGCCUAACAAACAUGUAACCGAGGGAGACCUCAUCGCCUGCGUAGAUACUAGGAACUCAAGGCCGCAUGCCUUCUCCCUUCAUAUAGAACCCAACUGCUUUAUUUGCGAUGCCGGGACUCCGCCUUCAUAAAAGGUAAUGUCCACCAAGGUGGCAGAACACCGGCCUCCCCAUAUGGGAAGGAAAUAUGGGAACCUAGGUACAGACUUGGCAGGGGGAUUUAAUUCAAUUUAAUACCAUUAAUUUACGUAAAAAUAAAUUAUUUAAUGAAAAUGUUUUGUUGUCGCACCCCUCGUUUUGCAGUGCGGCGUGCUGUUCGAUUUUAAACGGUGUAGACAGGUUGUCGAAACCACGGAGCGCUUCAAGAACAAGUGUAGCGAGGACUGUGAUGAGUAUGCCGUCGGCAGUCGUGUCUGGGCAUUUGGUCGAGUUAGUGGUUGCUUUCUGUGGUGUUUAUACACUACCAUAUGCGACUUAGGGUUUUAGAGGACACCGCAUUUCUGGGGGAACUGGCGUGUCUGUGUUCCUAGAGUCAGUUCUGCUCCCGGUCAGGGCGAUUCCAUGUGGAGACAAGAAUCCUUCCCAUUGCAUUUCUUCAACUUGUGUGUAUGGGCAAUUAGUAAUCCAGUUACGCUGAAAUGUGUGUACCUGAAGAGAAAUUAUGUCUUCCACCGCGCGGUCAACUGUAGCAGUGAACCCGGCGGCGCACGCCGAAUCUCUUCAGCGCUGUUUGGACGUAGUACCGACGCCCUUUCAGUUGAACAAGGACAAAUCGCUUUCAUGGUCAGUGUUCAGCAAUCCAUUCUGGUGUCUUAAAGAUGCUCACUUUCGAU